GACGAACGCUGGCGGCGUGCUUAACACAUGCAAGUCGAACGGAAAGGCCCUGCUUGCAGGGUGCUCGAGUGGCGAACGGGUGAGUAACACGUGGGUGAUCUGCCCCUUACUUUGGGAUAAGCCUGGGAAACUGGGUCUAAUACUGGAUAGGACCAUGCUGUAGGUGGUGUGGUGGAAAGAUUAGUUUCGGUAAGGGAUGAGCUCGCGGCCUAUCAGCUUGUUGGUGGGGUAAUGGCCUACCAAGGCGUCGACGGGUAGCCGGCCUGAGAGGGUGGACGGCCACAUGGGGACUGAGAGACGGCCCAGACUCCUACGGGAGGCAGCAGUGGGGAAUAUUGCACAAUGGGCGCAAGCCUGAUGCAGCGACGCCGCGUGGGGGAUGACGGCCUUCGGGUUGUAAACUCCUUUCAGCCAUGACGAAGCCCUUGGGGUGACGGUAGUGGUAGAAGAAGCACCGGCUAACUACGUG
Molecule: ribosomal RNA, 469 nt
Filed under: uncultured bacterium
Lineage: Bacteria
Description: partial 16S ribosomal RNA
Rfam family: Bacterial small subunit ribosomal RNA
Source: RNAcentral